This 72-nucleotide small RNA is filed under the name Mitsuokella multacida. RNAcentral describes it as "RAGATH-18 RNA". It matches the Rfam family "RAGATH-18 RNA". Rfam says of the family: Actinobacteria, Firmicutes, Fusobacteria, Thermotogae (1 example). Nearby to self-cleaving ribozyme genes The record is from RNAcentral. Lineage: Bacteria; Bacillati; Bacillota; Negativicutes; Selenomonadales; Selenomonadaceae.
CUGCAGAGCAUUAUAUCAAACGAGAGUAGCUUGCAAUACGUUGUGGCAAAAUCGGAUGCGAUGAAGCAGGAA